Molecule: non-coding RNA, 71 nt
Organism: Gammaproteobacteria bacterium
Lineage: Bacteria; Pseudomonadati; Pseudomonadota; Gammaproteobacteria
Source: Rfam
GCGGGUGUAGUUCAAUGGUAGAACGGGAGCUUCCCAAGCUCUUAGUGUGGGUUCGAUUCCCAUCACCCGCU